This is a long non-coding RNA of Oncorhynchus tshawytscha (Chinook salmon), 8347 nucleotides long. RefSeq lists it as uncharacterized. The record is from RefSeq and is a predicted model, not a curated record. The transcript is spliced from 2 exons. NCBI's taxonomy places the organism in Eukaryota, Metazoa, Chordata, Actinopteri, Salmoniformes, Salmonidae.
UCGGAUCAAAUUUGAUGACCAAUUUAUGCAGAAAUCCAGGUAUUUCCAAAGGGUUCACAUACUUUGUCUUGCCACUGUAAUUAUCCAUGCUACCAUUAGCAUCUCAAUGCCAGAAGUGCGUUCAGCAUGCAUAGACCACAUACGUUCACCCAAACGAGUUCUGGAAACCUAUUGGGCCUACUUCUACUAGAGUCUCAACGUGUGCAUGGGCAAGUAAUUGCUCAUUACUCAUGAUUGGAGUUGAGCUCCACUCAGUUGUUUAAUCUUCAGGUUGGCAUGACAACUGAAGAAACAGACAUAAAUUGUUCAGCAAAAAAAAGGCAUCAGUCUCCUCCUCUCUGCUCCACAGAAGCUUCCCCAAAUCAAUCUUUACCCCAGUGAACAAUGUGGUGUGUCACGGUAUACCUGACAGGUAUUCAGCUCCUUUUAGCUGUACAGUCUAGCCCUGGCUCCGGCUCCGGCUCCAGCUGGGAAACCCCCUCUCUCCAUUAUACCAGCGCAAUUUAGGAAUCAACCCCAGGAACAGUGAUGGCUGGCAGUGGAGUUAUGAGAAGAUGUUUUUCGUUUAAAUAAAGCGACAUGAGUAUAGAAACAGGGGAACACACAGCCCAUUGUGUUGCAGAUAGGUCUUGGAAAGGAUCCCUGUUGGUCAUUGAUAGGCUUGUCUUUUGCUAUGAAGAAGCUCAUUGAUGUCCUAUCCUUCCAAUGAAACAGAAACAAAUUACAUGCAGGUUAAUGUAAUGAUUUGUAUGGCAUAUGAAUAUAGCACAUUUUAAUGGAGAGAAAAAUAUGCAUGAGUAUGUAUGGAAGACAGACAUGAUGGACUACAAAAAAUAUAAUAUCUCAGACUCAGACUAUUUAACAUUUCAAGUUCCUGAUAUAAAGUACAUGGAAAUAAAAACUUGAGAUGGUUCAGAUUGUAUCAGUCUUUUAAAAAUAAAAAUAUGUUAUUUUAUUUUGGUAGACCUCAAGUUCAACCAUUUCCUUUCCUUGGGUGAAGGUCUUUUUGCAUCACUACCACCUCUGUUUUUACAUGAAAACACCAAAAGAGCAGACUGACCUAGGAGAUAACAUCUUGGGUCUCAAAGGACGAUUAAAAAGAAAUUGGACUAAAUUGUUUCUAAUUUUAUGUCGUCUACUUUUUCUGUAUGUUUAUCUUGUUCAUGGUUUCUCAGAAACUCCCACUUUCUGAAUUGCUCCAAGUGUUUUUGUUUUUUAUGCCUCUGGAUUUCCAGACCACCACUUCAGGCUGGAGAUGUUAUCAAGAAUGAUGUCAGUGUGACUAUUUCUCUCUCUCAUACACAUUCAUACACAUACAGUCAGGGCGGCAAUUCUUCAAGAAAAAUAACUGAACUCAGUCAGGGUCUCAAUUUACUGUUGAGAGUUAGAAUGGAGGAAUACACAAGGUGAAUUGUCUAAACGUGGGUGCGGCAGUUUUCAUCUUGUUCUAUGUCACUCACUGACAAUCACUCAAUUAGCCCAUGUCAGUUAAAACAUUUUAAAUUGGUAAAUGAGUCUAGUUAGUAUAAACAGCUAUCUAAACUUGCAGCAGGCUAACCAUGGCUGACCACCAGGCGGCCCCCGUUGAUUUUCCUAGUCACUCUCACUCAGAUAUCAUUUUCACCUAGCAUAAGUGGUGGCAAAAUGUGUAGAAUUUCAGGAAAUGUGCAGUGAAACUGCAUUAAAAAAAAUCAAGUUCUGUAAAUCAAACAUAUUUGUUUACCUUGUGUUCAUAAAAUACUUCUUCUGCUAACAGAUCCCUCUGUACAUAUUCAAUUACCAUUUUUAAUCCCGGUGCUGAGUUAACGUGUAACGGCUAACAGGCUAUGCGUUUGUAGAUCGAAUGAGGGGAAUGAAGGUACAGUAAACCAAUGUGCUGAUCUCCAAAUGCCCUUUUAGAUUUUUUAAAUUAUAUAGCAAUGCAGUAUUUGAGCUUCAACUUUCUAAACAUGUAUUGGACCAGACCUCACUAAAAACUCAGACCCUGGCUAUAUAUAACAUAGCCUACAUAGGUCAAGCUUUGAUCCACUUUGAUCCAGUUCUUGAAUUGCCAGUAGCGGCAGGAAAAACAGUAAAUUGAAAACGAGGAAUGCACAAAGGGGUGUGCUGUUUACUUGUACGCCGGCAGCUGGAUAGCUACUCCCUCUGCUGCCCCCCCCCUUUUCAAUUCCAGCCAGACCCCAGGCUCAGGCACAAACUGGGGGCUGAAAUACUGUGUGCUGGGAUCAAUGCAGUCCUGAGUGAAAUGUCAAACGCGUCCCUGCUAUGUGUCAGGCUGUGGAGGAGUCGUAAUGGUUAUUGAUCCGCUGUGCGCUUAAUGCAGAGCUCCCUCGCCACUCUAUGGGCCAGCUGCAGCAGAUAGAUAUGUAUGAGAUGAGCUAGAACGGAGAAGAUAGAAAAGAAAGAGCCUACCGUUCCCCCCCUUCCAUCCCUCCCUCCUUCACUGCGGAUUGAUCUUCCUCUUCCUGCUGAUUCUGACUGGGGUCCGUCAUUAUCUUCCUCUGUCAUUAGGCGCUCCAUUGACAGCCUUGGCCUGUCUGUGUCACUCUAUUGAGACAGCAACACUUUUCCCUCACAGUGCUCUUACGUUUAUUAAAAUCCCUGACAGGCUAGCUGGUCUCCGAGUGCAUUAGGGACACCUUAACCCUUGCUGCUGGUGAGCUUUCUCUGGAUAGAUGCCCAAGCUUGAAGAAAACUGUGGAAUGAUUAGUAAACACGCUAACCUCAGGAAUGGAUUUGAUAAUAGGGUACCUGUCCUUGUGACAGUGCUAAGGUGUAGAUGGUGUGGUUUCCAUUGCGUGAUGGGAUAAGAUGACUAAUCAUCGUAGUUCAAAGUCAAACCACCUGUCCAACCAUCCAGAAGGGUUACUGACACUGCAGUGGUGUUUAGUUGGUCUUGAUGAUUACACCCGUCUAGGAAUUACAUGUGUGCGUGAACUUGUGUGUAAAGCCAUUUUUGAUGCAUGAGAAUCUUUCCACAAAAUGACAACUGAUGAUUGUAUCAUACAGGGACAGUUCCUUUGUUUCCUUCACUGUGAGUCAACCAUUUAUCUCAAUCGUCAAUUAAUGUCAGGCAAGCAGAAUGUUACCGACCCCUUGAGAUGUUUGUGUUUUGUUCGUGUGUCAGACAAAUAAACCCUGCUUAGUGGUGGCAGGUCGUGUUACAAGUCAGCAGUGGCCUGGAAUUAAUAUCAUUGUCUUUUGAUUUACCCCCAUUGGCCUCAUAUAGUGGCUAUAUGAAUGAUAUGUGCUUUCAAUUUAAACAUAGAAGUCAUCAAUGGCAAAAGAAACCAAUAUACCACCUCUUCGCAGCCCAUAGAGGAAAUAAUGUACGGCUUCAAGGCUCUCUUAUUUCUUUAAAUUGUGAACAUUGUGAACGUCAGUGUUUUCAUAGGCUUUUUAUUUCCGCAUCGCUGCUUGAAUAUGCUUUAGUGCUAUUCUCUGUUUCGGGCCUAUCACCAUGGCAACCUGACAAGUUGCAGACAUUUCUGGUGGCUGCCAGGAGAAGCGCUGCUGGGGGGGGGCUGCAUGGAGAUGCUUGGCUAUGCUGGGAGCUGAGUGUUGGUGGCGGGACACGGCUAUUGGCGCCUGUGAGCUGGACACCCCCACUACAUGUCACCGGAGGCACAAUCAGGUGGGACCAGGGGGUCCCUGACUGGCUGGCCAUGUAGCACACAGGCUGCUCAAUGGGCCAGAAGUUAUUGGGGGGUUGGGAUGAAGCUGAUGACAUGGCUGGUGACAGGAGACUCAUCAUUUGAGUGUGAUACAAGCAUUUGAGCUGCCAGGCUGUAAUGUUGCUCGCCUUGCCUGGAAAGAUUUAUCCCAGAUUGCAGGGCCUAAGGGGUCAGCAGCUAUACAUGUGGGAACAGUUUAAGCUUUGUCUGAAUAAAUUGCAGUUUUGUGGGGGUAUACUAACAUCCCAAAAAUGGACAACAUCCAGGUGUCAGCUAGUGAGCAAAAAGAAUAAGAAACACUAAUCUACCAUUGAUAGCAGUGGGAUAGUUAUUGCUCAAUCACACAAUGUGAUCUAACAGUUGGUUUUAACAGUUUUAUAACAUUUUCAGAAUGAUUUAGUAGGGUACAAUGUUUGGAGCAAUACAUGCUCCAAACAUUGUAUUCAUAGAUCAGAUGUUCAGUCUAGACAGAGCAAUGUGGCUCUGAGGAGAGCGCGCAUUUACUUAUUCCAAUUCAUAUUUUGAGAACUUCCAUUUCUCUAAAUUGGUUGAAUUCGCUUUGUGCAUCAUGCAUUUCGUCUCAAGCAUUUUUACAAAGAAUAAAGGUAGACUGUAUGAAAUAAUGAUUUCUUAAAUUCAGAAGGUACACCGUUAUCAAGAUGUAUGUCGGCCAUUCGCUGUAGCACAGAGAUUGAAAUUAUAGGCUGGCUCCUGCUUGUCAAGAAUCUUUUCUAUCUUUGCUGUGGGGAGGAAAUGUUUAAUCCGACCCCCACUGAGAGACAAAAAAGUAAUGCACAUCUCACUGUCUCUCCUGUCUGCCAGCGUGAUGAAAGAGUUAUUUUUGAAAAGGGAGAGUUUACAGGCAAGGGAACAUCAUAUUUAUGAACACCCGGAGUUUAAUGCACUCUACAACACUGCCAUUCCUGUGUUCCAUUGAACACAACAUGUUCUGCUAAAUGAAGAAAAGGAAAAGCAACAAAUUAUUCCUCAGCCUUUUUCUAUCAAGCCUCCUGCAUUCAUGGCAGUCUAAAGGGAAUGUCAGUCGCCCUGCCUCUCAGAGAUGUAAUUAUCCUUUUCCUCUCACAGAACAACAAAUGAUAGCCAGCGACUGGGGUGCAUUUGCAGGAGCUGAAAUUUCGUCAAUAGGAAGGAGAAAGAGGUUUAAUUUUCAGGCAGCUGCAGAUCUACUUUUUUUAUGUAGUUAUUUUCAACGGUCAUUUGUCUACAUACGUUUUUGUGUACGUCCGUGUGUGUGUGAGGGAGAGAGUUUGUGUGUUUAUAUGUCUUUGUUUGCUAGCUUUUGAGGGGUGUAUUUAUCUGACCCUACAUUAACCUAUUUAUUUAUAGUCCUAUACUUUCUUACAGUCACCUUUUUUUGUUGUCGCCAUUUCACACUCUAUAUUGUCCAAGUAAUUUCCCUUUCAGCAUCUCUGUUUUUUUUUUACCUUUCAGAAAGAGCUCUGAAUGGAAGGAAAAUUAUCACAAUUACUCAUAUAAUUGAGCCGUCUUUGUAGCAAGUGAAGCUUCAGUAGCCUUUUUCCAUCAGCCAAAAUGGUUUCAUUAUAUGUGUUUUUCAUAUUCCCUGACAUGGGGCUUCACUGAGGGCCUGGCACGUGGAUGAGAUGCAGAGGGAACACUGUGAACCAUUAAGGUCACAGUAGGAAUAAUUAUCCCAGCUAUGGAAAGAGCAUCUAGAGCCUUUUCUCUUCCCCAGCACAAAUGCACCGCACCGUCCACUGCUUUUAGUCACAAAGAACUUUCUAACAAAUGGAGCUUCCACCUACUACUUAUACAAAGAAGAGAGGGGGAGAGUAAGAGACUUGUAUCAACAUGACAAUUUUCCAUCAUUAAGACUAAUGACAGGCACGGACUGUGGGGAUCAAGGGGAACACAAAAAAGGGAGCGCAUUCAGGUGUUGGUGACUCCCCUGACAGUUCUGAUGAGUGAAGGUACACUGCACCGAAUCCCUACUCCCUCCACAUAUUGUCAUCUUUCGAUACACUUACUUAUACAGUUUGAUAUUUGAGAAGCUGUAAAUAAUGUAUCAUGCCUUCUGUCUGAAGUAACUGAAAUAAAGGACAAUUGAUAGCUAGAACAUUGUUCCAUUUAUUAUAAGAAUAUUUCAAACUCAGAAAUGGUAUAAUUGCUAUAAUUUCAUAACAUCUUUGCAUUUUUAUAAAGACAUCGUGACUUCUCAACAUAAUAGUCAAGCAAUUGUUCAAUUGUAUUGCAUUUGAAUUUCAUUUAUAACAUAAUGCAGUAUCUAUUUACAGAGUGGGAAUGAGUAAAUCCAAAUCAAUUAACUGUUUGAUGCUACAUUGAACGGGAAAAUUGACCUCUAAGGUUGACUUAAUUCGUCUAGUUGGUGCCCAGCGAAGCAGCAAAUUACAAGGCAAAGACCUCCAAGCGCAGAGGAGAAGCUGGGAGAAAUGCCAUCCAGAGGACCUGGGUGGAUUGAUCAUAUUGUUAAAUAAAUAUUUGUUUAUCAACAGCUUGUUUUAGACAUCAGACAGAUAUCAAUCACAUGUUAAAGUAGUUGGUACUCUGAUAAAGACGCAUUAAUUAAUUAUUGCCGAUUUGAGAGAAAUAUAGUAAUUUUGUCUUGCUAUUAUUGGCAAAUAGAUCAAGUUCAUGUAACGUAGAUGAUACUGUUGAGUUUGUCUUUAUAAAAUGUUGCACGCUUAAUGAAUACAAUAUUAAUUGGCGACAAAAGUAAUACAAGCAUGACAAAUGAAUACAACACAGUAGUUUGUUCAGAGCAGUCUCUGAUAUUCCUAGCCUGUUAGAAAUCUACGGUGUGGAUACGUUUCCACGUAGUACCUCCUCGUGUAAACAGAAAGAUGAUGCACAGAACAGUGUACUGCACAUCAAAAGACAUGCAUUGCAACAAGAAGCAAUCUUUUCGAUGAAAUAGAACCAAAGUGAGGAGGUUUAGAAACAGGAUAUGUUUCUCACCUCUUCCUUUAACAUGGAUAUUCUGCAGAUAUCCAUAGUAUCCCUCUGGUCCAGCAUGUUAUCGUGGCAAUGUUGUUGCUAAAUGAUCUGUUUAAAAUGAACUGGGCAUUAUGUAGUCCGAAUUUACAGAGCAUUUUACAACAUUCCUCAGAUAUUCUUCAUAAUAAAGUGUCACCUCAUGAAAACCACAUUUACAAUUGCAAUGGAUGGCCAUCUUCGAGAGUAAUGUGAUUCAUAGAAUAUGGCUGUACAACUCAUGGCUAAGUCUUGCCAUGGAUAGCGUGUGUCCCUCCCUUCAACAUAGAGGAAAUUAAAUAAAACGGAGUAUCCUGUGCCACCAACAACAGUAAUUAAUCAUUGACAUUUACUCACAUUUACCCUGGGUCUUACAGUCUGAAGCAACAGAAGAACAGAAUUAGUCUGGCAAGCUCAUAGGUGCAGAGAAUAUUAAUUUGAGAAACAUGAUUUUUUCCAGAGCCACAGCAUUAACAUUUGGCGACUGUUAAAAUGUCGUUUGGAAGGGACAGUUAGUGAGCAUUUUCCACCAGGGGGCUGAAAUGAGGUCUGUGACACUUCAGGCCCUGUCGCCUCCACCCUUAGCACUGGCUGCUAACCCUCAGGUGGAGUGCAGCAGGUGUUAAAACACACUCUGCCAUAGAGCUACUCACUGCUAAUGAGUCCUGUCUCCUUAAAUUCUCUGGUCCACUGAUGCUUCCAUGCACAUGGGCUUUAUUGUUAGCGUAGGCCAGUUAGAGCAAUGCCAUGAUUACAUUCGAAGAUAAAAAAAAUCGUGUAAGACUGACCAUUACAAGGUACCUCCAUCUGGAGGAGCCACGAAUGUAAAGGCAUGUCAUGCUGCAACCAUGUCAUGUUGCAACGAAUUUCAAUGUGUACAAUAUGUUACGAAUUUGCAAAACGAAUGAUAUAUGAAUUCCUAGUCACCUAACUUCAGCUAGGUGACUAACGCUAACAUUGGCUAGAUGGUUAAAGUUAGCUAGGCUGGGGGUCAAGGUUAAGGUUAGGGUUAUGUUAUUAAGAUUAGGGGAAGGGGAAGCUAACAUGCUAAGUAGUUGCAAUGUUGCUAAUUAGCUAAAGUAGUCCGUGAUGAGAUUCGAACACACAUCCUUUGAGUUGCUAGAGGUUCGUGCCACCCAUCCCACUUGAACAACUUUUGUUUUUGUCUAAAGUAGCCAACUCUCUGAUGUAACCAUACCAAACAUAACAUAUCAUACAAAUUUGAAUGUCCCGGAUUUAUCUUUACUAUGUUAUGUCUCGUCUAUGACAAACGCUUCUCCAAGUCAGCAGUGUCCUUAAAAGCUGUGAUUUUUAAUUUGGAAUUGCAUUUAGUCUGAUUGUAAUAAAAGCAUGGAACACAAAUUGGUAUUCUAUUGUUCUUUAUUAUUCUUAAUGGAAAAUAUAGGUUGAAAAUAAUUAAUUAAAUCGUUACAUGAAAUGCUAAUUAAUAUUUGCCCUGUUCGAGAAUUGAGGAUUUUGUCAAAACAAAUAUUAUUGUAAACAAAGUUAAUUACAAUGCCAUUUGAGAAAGACUAUAUAUCUACUGGUAACGACUUGAUAUGCAUGUUGUUAUAUUUAAAUAUCAGCAGGCCUAUGUUUUAGAUUGGGUUACUUGACAUUUUCUUCAGUGAAACUGUAUUCAUGUGAGUAUUUAUCUUUUGUCGUGCUUUUCCUUGGAAUUAAAUACAUUUUAAAUCUGUUAA